GAUGAACGCUGGCGGCGUGCCUAAUACAUGCAAGUCGAGCGAACAGACGAGGAGCUUGCUCCUCUGACGUUAGCGGCGGACGGGUGAGUAACACGUGGAUAACCUACCUAUAAGACUGGGAUAACUUCGGGAAACCGGAGCUAAUACCGGAUAACAUGUUGAACCGCAUGGUUCAACAGUGAAAGACGGUCUUGCUGUCACUUAUAGAUGGAUCCGCGCCGCAUUAGCUAGUUGGUAAGGUAACGGCUUACCAAGGCAACGAUGCGUAGCCGACCUGAGAGGGUGAUCGGCCACACUGGAACUGAGACACGGUCCAGACUCCUACGGGAGGCAGCAGUAGGAAAUCUUCCGCAAUGGGCGAAAGCCUGACGGAGCAACGCCGCGUGAGUGAAGAAGGUCUUCGGAUCGUAAAACUCUGUUAUUAGGAAAGAACAAAUGUGUAAGUAACUAUGCACGUCUUGACGGUACCUAAUCAGAAAGCCACGGCUAACUACGUG
This 497-nucleotide ribosomal RNA is filed under the name uncultured bacterium. RNAcentral describes it as "partial 16S ribosomal RNA". It matches the Rfam family "Bacterial small subunit ribosomal RNA", at positions 28 to 507 of the family's 1533-position model. The record is from RNAcentral.